Felis catus (domestic cat) is the source of this 1589-nucleotide long non-coding RNA. RefSeq lists it as uncharacterized. The transcript has 2 exons. Lineage: Eukaryota; Metazoa; Chordata; Mammalia; Carnivora; Felidae. The record is from RefSeq and is a predicted model, not a curated record.
AUUGCAUAUGCAGUAUAGCAAUCAUCUGUGACAACAAAAGGAUAUAGUCUGAUGUGCACGUGCUUAGUAGGUGUACCAUCCAUGGUGUUGUGCUGGAGAAUUUGACCAGGUAAUUUCUCUAACCAAAAGGAAAUAGCAUCAAAGCAAGAUUGAAAGAUAAAAACAGAAAACUUGUGCAAGAAAGAAAGCGUGUCUAGUGAAUUUUAUUUUUGUUAGCUCAAUUUAAAUGGGUAGAAAUUUGCCCCUAGCUGUGUUGGAGUGACAAGGACUCCACUUAACCUACUGUCAUAACUAAUUAGAAAAAUAGCAAGAACACAUGAAACAACUGUUUUCAGACACUGGAUAACAAGUAGCCUCUGUGAGCUUUCAGAGAUAGCAAACAAACGAGAGGAGUCCUCUGAUUGUUAUCCAACUUGUUGCCUGGACGCAGUUUUUGGACCAGGAGCGUAAGAGGGCAUGCAGACAGAGCCCAGACUUGUCAUAGGAUGGAAGAGAAGGAGAUAGGAAGUUCAAAAGACUGAGGGGCCUCGAAGCUGUGGGACAGAACUCUAGAAGGAAGGAAGUCUCAGGGCAACGGAGUGUUCGCAGUCCGCACAGGAAUACCUGUGGAGGCUUUGCUCACUCAAUACAAGGCCAUGCAUGCGGCGGGUGGACCUUCAAAAUGCUAAAUGAAGAAUUACCAAGGGACAGUAAGCUGAAAGCUCCCCAGAGCUCACACAAGCUACCCAUGAGACACGUCGGUUGAAAAACUCCACUGAGAAUGGCGAAACAUCGCAAUGGAAGCAGACGUUUUCCUGAAAGAGCAUCAGGUGUUCAUGCUGUAGUUUCCUAUGGAAACAGCUUUUGCUGGCAGAGUCGGGAUACACCCGUGUCUUGAUGGGUUAUUGAAUGUGUGGAGAAGAUGCAAAUCUCAGCAUACAAUUCCAGGUGUGCAAAAGACAUAAUUUUUUCCCAUUAUUCAACUUAAUAUUUCAUUCAAAGCUUCUGUUUUGUUAAAACAGACUACCGUUAAAAUUUACACCUUUCAUAUUGGGACACAGCCAUACAGUUACACACAUUGCAAAUAACUGGGGCCAGGGAGAGUGUGGAGAUUGGGUAGAAUAUGUUUCUUAUGUUUCUUAUUCAUUGGUCCACGUAUGUCACUGAAUACUUUCACCCUAAAGGCUAAUCCCACUUUCCUGUCCUGCCGUACCUGGGUCCUUAGUUAAUGAGUGGAGAACCACUCAUUAUGAGAAUGAACACAAAAGAUAAUAUUAAGAGGGAGAGGGAAGAUAAAAUCAACAAGGUGAUAAGAAAUUCACUACUGAAUACUGUGAAUUACUUGCUUUUCAAUAAAUAUAGACACAAUAAAACAGAUGUAAGUUUUUCCUCAAAUAAUAGGGCUCACUAACUUGCAUUCCAGAAUUGCCUUUUCGAAUUGGAGAGAUAGAAGCAGUUUACGCAAGAUGCAGAAAUAUGUGCAUACCAAAAAUAAUUGAAAUAUGUAGUCAGUUACUUUGGGUGAAUACUGCUGUUCCUUCACGAUUUGUAGCAAAAAAAAAAAAAAAAGUAGAUUGAUUUUUUUUUUUUCCAACAAAAUUAGCAAGGUU